RNAcentral lists this ribosomal RNA (2560 nucleotides) under metagenome. Its description in RNAcentral is "bacterial LSU rRNA". It matches the Rfam family "Bacterial large subunit ribosomal RNA". The record is from RNAcentral.
UAGGGGAUGCCUAGAUAUUAGAAAAGUAACGGACGUAUCAAAACACGAAAAGUUGUAUGGAAUACUAUUCAAGGAGUAUUUUGACAUGCAAAUUUCCGAUAAGUAAACUUACAUUUUUUAAAACAUAGUGAACUGAAACAUCUAAGUAACUAUGGAAUAGAAAUCAACCGAGAUUCUGUUAGUAGUGGCGAUCGAACGCAGACUAGAUCUAGAAAUUUACUUCAAAUAUCUGAAAACACCAGAGAAGGUAUAAGUCCUGUAAGAUAUAAUAAGUAUUUUUCUGCUGAGUAGGGUGGAACACGUGGAAUUCUAUCUGAACAUUGGGGGCUCACCCUCAAAAUCUAAAUAUUUUCUAAUAAUCGAUAGUGUACAAGUACUGUAAAGGAAAGGUGAAAAGUACCGGUAUGGUUUUUUGACCCUGAAACUAGAUGUUUACAAACAGUUGUAGUCAUUAAAUUGAUGACAACGUACCUUUUGCAUAAUGGGCCAAUGACUUUAUAUAUAUAGCGAGCUUAAACUGAUAAGUGUAGGCGUAGUGACAACAUAUCUGAAUAGGGUAUAAGUUAUAUUUAUAAGACCCGAAACCAAGUGAUCUAGCCAUGAGCAGGUUGAAGUUAGAACUAACGUUCAAUGGAGGACCGAACCCACAUCUGUAGAAAAAGAUGGGGAUGACUUGUGGUUAGGGGUGAAAGGCCAAUCAAACUUGGAAAUAGCUGGUUUUUCGCGAAAUCUAUUUAAGUAGAGCAUAUAGUAUUAAAUAUCUGGGGUAGAGCACUCAUUAAACUAGGGGGAUAUUGCAUCUUACCAAAUUUAGGGAAACUCCGAAUACGGAUAAUUUUGAACUAUGUAGACAGACCUUGGGAGCUAAGUUCCUGGGUCAAGAGGGAAACAGCCCAGAGUGUUCGUUAAGAUCCUCAAAUUUUAUCUAAGUGGACAAGAAUGUGAGAAGAUAAAGACAGCUAGGAGGUAGGCUUGGAAGCAGCCAUCCUCUAAGGAAAGCGUAACAGCUCACUAGCCUAAUUUUCUUGCGUCGAAAAUAUAUUGGGACUAAAGAUAAAUAUCGAAACGGCACUUUUAUUAAAUCAAUAAAAAGUAGCGAAACGUUCUGUAAGCCUGAGAAGAAAGGUUGUAAAAUCUUUUGGAGGUAUCAGAAGUGAGAAUAUUGGCAUGAGUAACGAUAAAGAAUGUAAAAACAUUCUCGCCGUAAGUCCAAGGGUUCCGACGUAAAGUUAAACUGCGAAGGGUUAGACGGCCCCUAAGAAGAAGACGAAAGUCGUAUUCGAUGGGUAAUGUAUGAUAAAUACUUACAUACUCUUAAAAAUGACUAAAAUAGUAAUCCGCGUACCUAUACUCAUUAAAUGGAUUUGAGUCGUGGAGAAUAUUUUACAGGAAAUAAUUUUUAAGUAAUUACCGUACCCUAAACCGACACAGGUGGACGAGUCGAGUAGACUAAGGCGCUUGAGAGAACUAUGUUGAAGGAACUCGGCAAAAUGGCCCUGUAACUUCGGGAGAAAGGGUGCCUAAAUAGGAUAGGUAGUCUUAUUUAGGCGGCACUGAAUAGGGAGUAGCGACUGUUUAAUAAAAACACAGGACUCUGCUAAAUUGUAAAAUGACGUAUAGGGUCUGACACCUGCCCGGUGCUGGAAAGUUAAGGGGAUGUAUUUUUGUAUUGAACCGAAGCUCCAGUAAACGGCGGCCGUAACUCUGACGGUCCAAAGGUAGCGAAAUUCCUUGUCGGGUAAGUUCCGACCUGCAUGAAUGGUGUAACGACUUCUCCGCUGUCUCCAACAUAGACUCAGUGAAAUUGAAAUGGCUGUGCAGAUACGGCCCUCCUAUAGCUAGACGGAAAGACCCCGUGCACCUUUACUACAUCUUUACAUUGUAAAAAGAUUUCAUAUGUGUAGAAUAGGUGGUAGCCUUUAAUACCUUAACGUAAGUUAACCGUAUAGGCAUCUUUGAAAUACCACCCUUAUGAUUUCACUUUACUUACCUUUCUAGGGACAAUGUAUGGUUGGUAGUUUGACUGGGGCGGUCGCCUCCUAAAAAGUAACGGAGGUGUACAAAGGUAGACUCAAAUUGUAUUUAAUCAAUUGUAGAGUGUAAUGGCAUAAGUUUGCUUGACUGUAAGAUAGACAUAUCGAGCAGGGACGAAAGUCGGUCAUAGUGAUCCGGUGGUUCUUUGUGAAAAGACCAUCGCUCAACGGAUAAAAGGUACGCCGGGGAUAACAGGCUAAUGACUCUUAAGAGCUCCUAUCGACGGAGUCGUUUGGCACCUCGAUGUCGACUCUACGCAUCCUGGGGCUGAAGAAGGUCCCAAGGGUUCGGCUGUUCGCCGAUGAAAGCGUAACGUGAGUUGGGUUUAGAACGUCGUGAGACAGUUUGGUCCCUAUCUACUAUAGGUAACAGAAAAAAACAGGGAGUCAUAUCUUAGUACGAGAGGACCGGAUAUGGUAAACCACUGGUCUACCGGUUGUUCCGCCAGGGGCAGCGCCGGGUAGCUACGUUUAUGUUAAAUAAUUGCUGAAAGCAUCUAAGCAAGAAGUUAACCCCUAAAGUUUUU